This 438-nucleotide ribosomal RNA is filed under the name uncultured Mycoplasmatota bacterium. RNAcentral describes it as "bacterial SSU rRNA". It matches the Rfam family "Bacterial small subunit ribosomal RNA", at positions 920 to 1359 of the family's 1533-position model. Lineage: Bacteria; Bacillati; Mycoplasmatota. The record is from RNAcentral.
GACCCCGCACAAGCGGUGGAUCAUGUUGUUUAAUUUCGAUGAUACGCGAAGAACCUUACCAGGUCUUGACAUCCCUUGCAAAGCUAUAGAGAUAUAGUGGAGGUUACCAAGGAGACAGGUGGUGCACGGUUGUCGUCAGCUCGUGUCGUGAGAUGUUGGGUUAAGUCCCGCAACGAGCGCAACCCUCAUUGCUAGUUACCAUCAUUAAGUUGGGGACUCUAGCGAGACUGCCAGUGAUAAACUGGAGGAAGGUGGGGAUGACGUCAAAUCAUCAUGCCCCUUAUGACCUGGGCUACAAACGUGAUACAAUGGCUGGAACAGAGGGAGGCUAAGGAGUGAUCUGGAGCGAAACCCAAAAAACAGUACUCAGUUCGGAUUGAAGUCUGCAACUCGACUUCAUGAAGUCGGAAUCGCUAGUAAUCGCAAAUCAGAAUGUUG